CUAUGGUCUAGCGGUAGCACGUCAGGUCUUAAAGCGGCAGUCCCGGGUUCGACUCCCGGCUGA
Molecule: transfer RNA, 63 nt
Filed under: Chattonella subsalsa
Lineage: Eukaryota; Raphidophyceae; Chattonellales; Chattonellaceae
Source: RNAcentral